Molecule: non-coding RNA, 30 nt
Filed under: Mus musculus (house mouse)
Lineage: Eukaryota; Metazoa; Chordata; Mammalia; Rodentia; Muridae
Source: RNAcentral
UCCUGCGUAAGCCACUGGGCAUCCUUUAGC